This 235-nucleotide ribosomal RNA is filed under the name uncultured Candidatus Saccharibacteria bacterium. RNAcentral describes it as "partial 16S ribosomal RNA". It matches the Rfam family "Bacterial small subunit ribosomal RNA", at positions 585 to 818 of the family's 1533-position model. The record is from RNAcentral. Lineage: Bacteria; Candidatus Saccharimonadota.
AAGUGGAUAGUGAAACCUGGUGGCUCAACCAUACAGACUAUUAUCCAAACUGCUGAGCUCGAGAAUGGUAGAGGUAGCUGGAAUUUCGUGUGUAGGAGUGAAAUCCGUAGAUAUAGGGAGGAACACCGAUGGCGUAGGCAGGUGACUGGCUCAUUCUUGACACUAAGGCACGAAAGCGUGGGGAGCAAACGGGAUUAGAUACCCCGGUAGUCCACGCCGUAAACUAUGGAUGCUA